UACGGAGGGAGCUAGCGUUGUUCGGAAUUACUGGGCGUAAAGCGCACGUAGGCGGCUUUUCAAGUCAGGGGUGAAAUCCCGGGGCUCAACCCCCGGAACUGCCCUUGAAACUGGAUGGCUAGAAUACUGGAGAGGUGAGUGGAAUUCCGAGUGUAGAGGUGAAAUUCGUAGAUAUUCGGAAGAACACCAGUGGCGAAGGCGCUCACUGGGUAUGACGCUGAGGUGCGAAAGGUGGGGAGCAAACAGGAUUAGAUACCCCCGUAGUCC
This 267-nucleotide ribosomal RNA is filed under the name uncultured bacterium. RNAcentral describes it as "partial 16S ribosomal RNA". It matches the Rfam family "Bacterial small subunit ribosomal RNA", at positions 524 to 796 of the family's 1533-position model. The record is from RNAcentral.